RNAcentral lists this ribosomal RNA (254 nucleotides) under uncultured bacterium. Its description in RNAcentral is "partial 16S ribosomal RNA". It matches the Rfam family "Bacterial small subunit ribosomal RNA", at positions 524 to 776 of the family's 1533-position model. The record is from RNAcentral.
UACGGAGGGAGCAAGCGUUGUUCGGAUUUACUGGGCGUAAAGGGCGCGUAGGCGGUCAGCCCAGGUCAGUUGGAAAAUCUCCGGGCUUAACCCGGAAAGGGCAACUGAUACUGUGCGACUAGAGUGCGGAAGGGGCAACUGGAAUUCUCGGUGUAGCGGUGAAAUGCGAAGAUAUCGAGAGGAACACCUGCGGCGAAGGCGGGUUGCUGGGCCGACACUGACGCUGAUGCGCGAAAGCCAGGGGAGCGAACGGG